AUCUCCGACAGGACGUGAUGCGGGCUCCUGCUUCUCCCUUCUCAGCUCAUCAGAGCACGUGCGAGCGCCGCAGCUGAGAUAAUUGAAUAUCUUCUUUAAACCAACAGGCUGGAAGGAGGUGGUCGGGCCUCCCCUGGGCCGAGCAGGGGUUCCACGAGGCCAGCCCCCCCCCCCCGGGCCUCCACCAAGGAAGGGCAGCGUCUGUGUCCCUGGAAGUCUCGGCUCACCCAAACGUCACCAGGAGAGUCCGGACACAUUGCCUGACCGUGACCUCGCACCCACCUUCCGGCCUCCGGCUUUGCCGUCCACACCCGUCCCUUCCCGUCUCGCAAGCCCAGGUGCCCGCAUGUGGGCCACACCGCCUCCUCUGAAAUGCCCAGCCGUGGUGGAUGAUCGCCUCUGAAUAAUUUAACAGGUAUUGGCUUAUUGAGCAAGACGGACUCUUGACGUCAGGGGUGGAAUGUUCUCGGGGGAGAGCCCUCCAUUUCCAGGCCAAGUGUUGUAAGAGUUCAACACGCGUGUGUUCAGUCUCACUCUCUGUGGCGGCUGGGGGGGGGGCCCACAGGACACCCCCCUCAGGAGGAGGUGUGGGCGUGUCCAGCUUCGGGGGCGGUGCCGUGGGACGGCCCAAAGAGCACUGGACGGGGAGUCCUGAGAGCUGAAUAAGAAAGUGUAAUAAUAUUAAUGGAUUGCCUGUCUGUGAUCAAGUGCUCACUGUGGGUCAGCACCAUGGAAGCAUCUAGUCCACCUAAGCCUUUGAAGAAGAAAUUCUCUGCCGUCCCCAUUUUGCAUAAGGGGCAGUGAGGCUUGCUUAGGAUUUUAGGGCAAGAGUGACU
This 836-nucleotide long non-coding RNA is filed under the name Felis catus (domestic cat). RNAcentral's name for it is "lncRNA (ENSFCAG00000046870.1)". The record is from RNAcentral. Lineage: Eukaryota; Metazoa; Chordata; Mammalia; Carnivora; Felidae.